RNAcentral lists this ribosomal RNA (408 nucleotides) under uncultured bacterium. Its description in RNAcentral is "partial 16S ribosomal RNA". It matches the Rfam family "Bacterial small subunit ribosomal RNA", at positions 28 to 526 of the family's 1533-position model. The record is from RNAcentral.
GACGAACGCUGGCGGCGUGCUUAACACAUGCAAGUCGAACGGAGUGGCGAACGGGUGAGUAACACGUGUGUGACCUGCCCUGCACUUCGGGAUAAGCCUGGGAAACUGGGUCUAAUACCGGAUAGUUUGGGAUGGGCCCGCGGCCUAUCAGCUUGUUGGUGGGGUAAUGUCCUACCAAGGCGGCGACGGGUAGCCGGCCUGGGAGGGUGGACGGCCACAUGGGGACUGAGACACGGCCCAGAGUCCUACGGGGGGCAGCAGUGGGGAAUAUUGCGCAAUGGGCGGAAGUCUGAGGCAGCGACGCUGCGUGGGGGAUGACGGCCUUCGGGUUGUAAACUCCUUUCACCAUCGACGCGGUAGAUGGAGAAGAAGCACCGGCUAACUACGUGCCAGCCGCCGCGGUAAUAC